GUUGUAUGUAUAGUACAAUCAGGCACUAUAACUAUUCAUGUGGAAAUGAGGCCAAACCCAGAAGCACAGAACAGUUGGACAAAAGGAAGUCAUGAUGAAAUUCCAGUUGUGGGGGAGGAAGAUGGGGACCUGGGAAAUGGUAAGGUAAUAAAGAAAAACACUGUACAAGGUGUGAAACUCUUAGUGAGGAGAUUAGGAAAUAGAAAUGGAAGGAGAAAGAAAACAGGUAAAAGCAUAGUGGGGAAAAACAUAGGGAAAAGCUAUCCAUACAUGCAGUCGAAGUAUUCUGUAUACAUCAAAAAGAUAUUAAAUAACCCGUAAAAGAAAACUGAUAGAAGAAAGACUAUUCUGUAGAAAAUAAUAUGCCAAACAAAUACUGUACUCCUUUAAAAGGCAGGCUUUGGCGGUAUAAGCAGUGUUAGCUUGGAUACUAGGUGUUUUUUUUCGUGACUUGCCUUUUACAGAUACAGCUAAAAAGCAUACUUCUAGGUCUAAUUAGUAUCCUAUGCUUCCUAAUACUAGGCCAUUGAUGUUUAUUCAAAAUCUCUAGAAAAUCAGGUGUCGUGUUAUGUAUUCAAAAUUCCCAAUUAGUAUAUUUUGUGUGGUUCUGUCAUGUGCUGUUUUUUAGUGCAGUUGUUUUACAGUGCUCGGAUAAAUAUAUACUGUAUAGCUCUAAAGUAAACAUCCGAGUUCAAGGGACAGUGAUAGGUCAAACUAAUAAUAAUAGGCCACCUAACUUCAGAAGUAGGAGUGUGUUUGGCACUGUAAUACAGAACUUAUUUAUAGGAUGGUGUGUGGUGAAGGCAGCUUUUAAGACUUUUGAACUUAUAAUCUAAUGUGAAAUGACUUUUGGUCACUUACUCUGUGAACUUUCAUUUUACUACUGUAUUUUAUGAUGUGGAACAGAUUUGUGAAGAUAUUAUUUCUGUAACUUGAUAAUACUGCUUUAGAGUAAUAGUAAAAUCGUGUGCUGCAGGACAGUAUGAAGGUAUAAUUCUGAUUAAUAAGCUAAUGCUAUUUUAUAAAAAUGUCUGUUUAGGUUUUGGUUCUUAAAAUAAUACAUUUUCAGUUUUGUGUAAAGACCAAUAAGUGUUGUAGGAAAGCUCAAGAAGUGUUAACUGAAAGAGCUAUUUUGCAAGCUGCACUAAAAA
Strigops habroptila (Kakapo) is the source of this 1151-nucleotide long non-coding RNA. RefSeq lists it as uncharacterized. Lineage: Eukaryota; Metazoa; Chordata; Aves; Psittaciformes; Psittacidae. The record is from RefSeq and is a predicted model, not a curated record. The transcript is spliced from 2 exons.